RNAcentral lists this ribosomal RNA (253 nucleotides) under uncultured bacterium. RNAcentral describes it as "partial 16S ribosomal RNA". It matches the Rfam family "Bacterial small subunit ribosomal RNA", at positions 524 to 776 of the family's 1533-position model. The record is from RNAcentral.
GACAGAGGGUGCAAACGUUGCUCGGAAUCACUGGGCGUAAAGGGCGUGUAGGCGGGAAUGUAAGUCGGGCGUGAAAUCCCUGGGCUCAACCCAGGAACUGCACUCGAAACUGCGUUUCUUGAGUAUCGGAGAGGAAAGCGGAAUUCCUGGUGUAGAGGUGAAAUUCGUAGAUAUCAGGAGGAACACCAGUGGCGAAGGCGGCUUUCUGGACGAUGACCGACGCUGAGACGCGAAAGCGUGGGGAGCAAACAGG